ACAGUUAUAAAUCAACAUAUUGAUUUAUAAGCAUGGAAAUCCCCUGAGUGAAACAACGAAUUGCUGUGUGUAGUCUUUGCCCAUCUCCCACGAUGGGCUUUUUUUUAA
This 108-nucleotide non-coding RNA is filed under the name Escherichia coli. RNAcentral's name for it is "antisense sRNA RprA". It matches the Rfam family "RprA RNA". Rfam says of the family: Translational regulation of the stationary phase sigma factor RpoS is mediated by the formation of a double-stranded RNA stem-loop structure in the upstream region of the rpoS messenger RNA, occluding the translation initiation site. Lineage: Bacteria; Pseudomonadati; Pseudomonadota; Gammaproteobacteria; Enterobacterales; Enterobacteriaceae. RNAcentral also lists the same sequence under 3 other names. The record is from RNAcentral.